This 685-nucleotide long non-coding RNA is filed under the name Nicotiana tabacum (common tobacco). RNAcentral's name for it is "long non-coding RNA (NTAB_LNC012845)". Lineage: Eukaryota; Viridiplantae; Streptophyta; Magnoliopsida; Solanales; Solanaceae. The record is from RNAcentral.
AAACAAAGGCCAAGAUUGAUUCCAACAGAAGUCAAAAGUGCAGAGAGGAUCAUUCCUUAAAUCCGUUCACUGAACUGUCUGCUUACAGCAUGAGAGCUUCAAUCCAACAGCAUCAGAAUACUAAUGGCACAGAGAAUAAGCACUCAUGCACGCAGUUUAUCACAGCUUCUAGAUAGGCUGCAAAACCAUGAAGAAUCAACAUUUCAAUUCAAAAGUGUGUAACUGAUUACCACAACAAGGGAACAACUGGAAAUACAGCCAAGAUAUAACUCAUGGAUGUAGUGAACUAAAAAAAGUUGGUUAAUAUUUCAACAGCUAGUUAACAAAGCUAACCAGUUAGUUAAACUAGUGAUUGGCGGGAAAGUUAGUUAUAAGAGGCGAAUAUGGAGGAUCUUUUUUGCUAGUAACACUGAGAUAAUGGUACUUCUUCGAUCAUAAGAGCUACGAAGCUCCACCAGUAUAAGGAAGGAAGCUAGACUAAGGAAACAGGCACAAAAUGGUUUCUUCUUCCUUGGUCUCUCUCUCCUCUUCUUAUUCCUCUCCAAAUCUCUCCUCUUCUGUCAAUUCUCCUCUUUCCUUUCCUAAAUUAAUUAGACAGGGAGUUAUAAUUGCCAAUUAAUUAGAUAGGAGUUAUAAUUGCAUCCUCCAAUUGGGCAGCAUUCUAAUUGUUCAUUUCAAUAAAGCU